RNAcentral lists this ribosomal RNA (497 nucleotides) under uncultured bacterium. RNAcentral describes it as "partial 16S ribosomal RNA". It matches the Rfam family "Bacterial small subunit ribosomal RNA", at positions 28 to 507 of the family's 1533-position model. The record is from RNAcentral.
GACGAACGCUGGCGGCGUGCCUAAUACAUGCAAGUUGAGCGCUGAAGGUUGGUACUUGUACCAACUGGAUGAGCAGCGAACGGGUGAGUAACGCGUGGGGAAUCUGCCUUUGAGCGGGGGACAACAUUUGGAAACGAAUGCUAAUACCGCAUAAAAACUUUAAACACAAGUUUUAAGUUUGAAAGAUGCAAUUGCAUCACUAAAAGAUGAUCCCGCGUUGUAUUAGCUAGUUGGUGAGGUAAAGGCUCACCAAGGCGAUGAUACAUAGCCGACCUGAGAGGUUUGUCCGCCACCAUGGGACUGAUACACGGCCCAAACUCCUACGGGAGGCGUCGGUAGGGAAAUUUCGGCAAUGGACGAAAGUCUGACCGAGCAACGCCGCGUCAGUGUAGAAGGUUUUCGGCUCGUAAGACUCUGUUAGUAGGGAAGAUCGUUAGUGAGAGUAGAAAGCUCAUCAAGUGACGGUAACUACCCAGACAGCGACGGCUAACUACGUG